UCCUCACGACCACACAUGAAAUUCCUCUCCUCCUUUCCAAACCAUGAAACAACCUCUGUGAACUGAAGACUUCGAAUUUACACUUCAUAUUUCCCUCAGACUCGACAAUUCCUUCAUUAUGUGAACUGGGUAAGGAGGCAAAUGGAUCAUCAUGACCACGAAAGGUGUAAAUAGAAAACUCUAGUUUUCUCAAGCCAUUUGGGUAUCCCGCGAUUGCGGACUGCUCAAGAACUAGCAACCCGACUGGGUUGGCCAAGCAAUGGCUGCUAAAGGAACCGCAGAAGAAAAUUAUGAAGGCAAACAAAAAAGUAUUACCAGGCGCUCAUUUGCAUUCGCGGAGGCACUAAGUCAAGCCACUGAAAAGAAUGCUUCGGCCUUCAUGAAUAGAAUAACACAAUGAGUUCUGAAUGAAGGUGGGGUACGUCAACUUGGUCCAAGUUGCCAUAGUGAGAUACCGGCCGAUGUUGAAAAAGUUUUGAAUCAACAGGAAGUAGAUGAUUCUAGCUAUUUCAGUGAAGGAAAAGCAUGGGGAGCAUGGGGGACAAAACCAGGAAAGUGGCCUAGUGAAAUAGCCAAUUGGAUUCCUUGGGUAGAAUGAGUUGAGAAAUGAUUUGGGGAUGUAUGGAAACGACUUGGGAUUUACGACGCCAUCAAGCUUUCCACCAUUACUAUUCCCUGUGAUCGCCCCUUGCUGGCUGCUGCUAUGUGUUUUUGGAGUUCGCAAACAAGCUCUCUGGAGCUUCAAUUUGGUGCACUUAGUCCGACCUUGAUUGAUAUAGCGGCCAUUAUAGGCCUGCCGCUCCAUGGGCAAGUGGUGGACAUAGUAUUUGUAGAAAGAAAGUUUGACAUUGAUCGUAGUGGUGAGCUAAGAGAUCGAAGUAAGGGCAGACCAGCCGUUGCCAAUUUUAAUACAUGGAUUGAGGUGUUUAACAACGGCUUGGUGAGGAAGUCACCUGAUAGUAAUGGCAGCCCGAAGGAGAAAGAGGAAAGCUAAUAUGAGACAAUGGAAGUUACUCCUGUAGAGCAUGCUGCGUUUCUUGCCUUUUGGAUAUGUAAGUUCUUAGUGUGCACAACUUCUAAAAAAGUGAAUGUGGAAUACUACAAGUUGGCUGAAGCAUUAGCAAGCAAAGAAGUGCAAGAGAGUGAUCCGCCAUUAGCUCUUGGUCCAUUUGUGCUCACCCACUUGUACAGAUGUCUUCAUCAUUAUGUGACUGAAGGAGUGAACCGAAAUUGGCCUGGGCCAUUAUGGAUUUUUCAGUUGUGGCUUCAUACUUAUUUCCCUGCAUUCAGACAGCCAGGUAUAGCAUUGGCCGCAGACACCACUCUUGGACAACAGUUGGGUCCGCUUGAGUUAUUACCUCAUUAGGCAGAAGAGUGUUUUGAGAUUUUGUUCAAGUGUCCAGAAUUCUCUGCAGAACAGUAUGCCGUUUGUUUCAACAGGAAGUAUCCAUCCUACCUUAUCGUAGAUAUCAGCCAACACGCCUAAGAAAGCGAGACGAGAUGGGAGACUGCGUGUUCAACUUGGAAGAGUACAAUAGGUAUGAGGGAUCUCUUCUGGGGUGCCUUGUCUGGUAAAACACUCAAGUGUGGAGUGGAGUUAUAUGCACCAUCCUAUUUUAGUCGUCAGUUGGGAUAUUAUCAAGCCAUACCUACUCCGGUUCCAGAAUCAUCAAACCGAUAUAGUUCAUUACGAGCCGUUUUUUCCAACGAGGAUGACAUUGAGCAGAAUAAUAAGGCGUUUGUGUACAACAUGAGUUUUCCCAUGAAGACAAGAGUAGCAACUAGCAAGAGUUCCUCCCAGUUCAGAGAGUGGUGGGCAAAACGAGUAGGUAGCUGUUUUAAAGAUGGGUUGGUGUCAGCUAGGCGAUCGGCUUUUGUAGGAAAUCCAUGGGCACAAGAGAAGUCGAAAGCUGUAAGGCGUGGUAAAAUAACAAGCAAAGUUGCUAAAGAAAUCCCAACUAUAAGUAAGUUGUUGCCCCCCCCCAAGUGUACUUUCAUUUAUGCACAUGUUUUUAGUUUGUUCACCAACUUGGGGUUUGUUGAUUGUAGGUGGCCAAGAGUCUUUGAUGAAGUGUACUAAAGGUAGUACAAAAAGAAAGGCCAUCCAUAGUGCGGCCACUGAGGCGGCCAAAGGUAGGCCGAAAUCAAUUUGAAUUGCAGUCGGCCAUUAUGUAAGGAAUCAUGGCCGAUGGCUAAUGGCGUUUCUGUUUUGUCUCCUUUGAAUAACAGAUGGUGCCACCAUGUCUUCAACGUCUCAAUCUCCUCCAGCGAAACAAUCGGCAAAAAGCAAUUCUCUGAAAGUGAAGAACAAUUGUGCGUGACCAAACGAAGCCCCUGGAGACAUUCAAGAAGACCAACAUCCAAAAUGCCAUUCCUAGUGAAACAGAGGAAUCCGUGGAACUAACCACUGAUAAAGAUGGCCAACCAAGUAGUGACGAACCUGUGGGGGAGAUAAUUUUUUCUGAAAGAAUGGCCAAAAGCAAAGUUGUGACAAUGAAUAUGGAGGAGAAACUUGUGCUCACUCAAACUUCAACGCAAGCCAGUAUUCCCUCCUCGUCGCUUAGUGAGAAGCUGGUGUUGGCUAACGAACUAGAAGGUAAUCAAGGGUUUGAAGCCGAACUUCAGGCUUUCAUGAGGGCAUUUUCGGCCGAUGCUCUAAUCCAACCAGAACGCUGCUCGGUCAUUUCGCAGUUACCGACCGCUCAAUUGACAUCAAGGGAGGAAAUUGAUGGGGCUCUGAAGGUGGUAAAGGAAACGUUAGGGCAGCCAUUAAAAGAAUUUGUGGAAACAGGCCAACUAUCAAAAGUGAAAGUGGCCAUAGAUUUGUUACUUGGAGCCAAAUACUUUGCCCCUCCCAAGGUAGCCCUCAUUGGUGAGAAGCUAGAAGUGUUGACCCAACAAACAUCCGGUGUAGCUGGUUCGUACUAAGAAAUAGAAAAAAGGAGACAACAAAUCUUGGCUUAUGAGCAAAUGAAGAAAGCCUUGGUUCUUGAGUUUGGGUGGUGUAUGGAACAAAAACAGGUUGUGGAGUCUCUUGAAGGCAAGAUAAAUGAGUUGGAAAGACAAUUGGCGUCCUUGAAACAAGAGAGACAAGAAGUGGGGGAAAAGCUCCUUCAAAGGAGUAAGCAGUGUUUCCAAAGCCAAGGACAACUGAAAAAGAUAGAGGCUGAAUUGAAAAAUUCCGAGCCUAGGUGUAUGCAACUUGAGAGUGACCUUCAGGACAAUGGUUGUACCUUGGGAGCUCUUGAAGCUUUAUAGCCGAGUAAUGAUAAUUGAUGUAUGUGGCUCUUUUGUCAGCCAUUGGCCGGUGUUUGUAAACAUUUGAAAGUUAUGGGCCGAUGAAAAACUUAAUUAAUUAUUUGCUUGCCGGUAGAUUAUCAUAAACAUCGUUGGGUCAUGGAUAGAUAAUAUCUUGUAGUAGUAAAUACAAGUGAAGUAUAAUGGUCAAGCAAA
This is a long non-coding RNA of Rosa chinensis, 3453 nucleotides long. RefSeq lists it as uncharacterized. The record is from RefSeq and is a predicted model, not a curated record. The transcript has 5 exons. Lineage: Eukaryota; Viridiplantae; Streptophyta; Magnoliopsida; Rosales; Rosaceae.